This is a long non-coding RNA of Chelonia mydas (Green sea turtle), 298 nucleotides long. RefSeq lists it as uncharacterized. Lineage: Eukaryota; Metazoa; Chordata; Testudines; Cheloniidae. The transcript is spliced from 4 exons. The record is from RefSeq and is a predicted model, not a curated record.
UCAUGUUGCACGAUGUCCGACAUCGUGGACGAAGGCAUCACACGUGAUUGUGGAAGAUAUUAACAAGUGCCGGGAGCCAAUCCCCAGCCUGGAGGCCAUCUACCUGCUCAGCCCAGUGGAGAAGUCGGUGCAGGCUCUGAUCAAUGACUUCCAGGGCACCCCCACCUUCAACUACAAGGCAGCUCACGUCUUCUUCCUCAGCCCCUGUCCUGAGCCUCUGUUCAACGAGCUGAGGAAGUCAUGGAUCACCAAGGCCAUCAAAACCCUCAAGGAGAUCAACAUGGCCUUCCUGCCCUAC